GGAUGGUUUGAGUUAUUCCAUCCUCUUUAUGUUAUUUUCUUUGGUUCUGAGUAGUUGUAAUUCUUCAUAUCUAAUUAUUAGCUUGGCUCAGUUUCUGAGCCCAGUUUAUCUAGUGUGAACUGAAUCAACCUUCGCAGUAAGUUUCAAAUAGACUUUGUAAUUUCGUCGACCACAAAUCCGAGGUAAGUAUUUUAAAGAUAUUUUGUGCAUGAUCAUGUUGCCAUGCACACACAUGCAAUGUGAAUCUAUCUGUGUGUGGCUUGCACAUAUAUGCAAUUGUUUUAAAGAUAUUUGGUGCACGAUCAUGUUGUCAAGCCAUCAACUUGUUCCUGACAUUUUGCUUGCUUGAAGAAUAAAACAACCUAAUUUUUGAGACAGAUCAUCUACAUGGCCAGAUCCAUUUAAUGAAUUUCUUGGAUAUUUCUCCAAAUCCAUUUAAUGGAUGUCUUGGAUGUUUCUCUAGCUCUAAUAAAAUGGCAAGGAAUUAAUGAUUAUCGAUCCAAAGUGGAAAUGAUUAGUGGAUUACAUCAAGUGGAUCAAUGUAUUUUUCUCCCGUGGUGUCUUUUCCAGAGUGAACCUAUCAACCUAAGUUCUUGACAACAAGCUUGGUCUUAAUAAUCUCUGUUAUCACAAAAAUUAGAGCAAAAUUGUUGUAUUCGGGCAAUUGAGACUGUUUUGAACACAUGGAACAUGAAAUCUUGUUACAUCAGUUCUCAUUAUAUUCUCUGACAGAUAUUGCUUUUUAGACUCAUUAGAUCAUUGCAUGGAAACUUUUUUGUUGAGUUUUAUUUGUAUAAUUGAAGUAUCUUGAGUGGGCAUAUCUUAAAUGGCACUGCCAAUGGCAAGGUCAUAGGAAGGGCAUUUUGUAUCGGAAUUUUGGCAGGAUGCUGUAAGGAGUAAAUGCUUGGUCUCAACAUAGGAAGGGCAUUUUGUAUCAGAAUUUGGUCUCAACAUGGAAGAAAGGGUUGCAAUCUUCAUCAUUUCUAAAUAAGCCCCGGUCACCUUUUCAAGAAUGGAAAAUUGAUUUCUCAGAACUAUCCAUUGGCACUCGUGUUGAGAUUGGGUUCUUUGGGGAAGCUUUUCGUGGCGUAUGGAAUGGGACAGAUGUUGCUGUCAAAAUAUUUCUGGAGCAAGAGUUGACAGCUGAGAAUAUGGAGGAUUUCUGCAAUGAAAUAUUUAUUCCAAGUGGGAAUCAUGAGCGUGACUGGCCAGGGUCAGGAUCAUUCUAUGAAAAUACGGAUUCUGGUGGGGAAUAUGGCGUGCUGGCUGAGACAAUGUUCUAUGAAUUCCAGCUGACAACAGAGCCAAGUUUUGGUAUUCUACAGACUAUGGUUUGUUCCAUUUAUGCAUAGCGGACAGUGAACAUGAUUGGAGAGAGGGUUCGGAACAGUACAGAUUCAUCGAGCAUUGCCUUUCGUCAGCGGAUAGGCAGAAACAACCAUGGUUGAUCUUUGCUGGUCAUCGUGUUCUUGGCUACAGUUCAGGGUACUGGUACGGCCUGAGUGGUGAAUUUGCAGAGCCAAUGGGAAGAGAGAGCCUACAAAACCUUUGGCAGAAGUACAAGGUUGAUAUUGCACUUUAUGGUCAUGUCAACCAAUAUUAAAGGACAUGCCCAGUCUACCAGGUAUGUAUGAAUAGAAAAGGAAUGUGGGUUUUGGUAGGUACUUGUGUGCAUUUAAGAUAUACAUCCUAGCUUUUGAACUCACGGAUUACUCUUAAAAGUGUGAUUCCAUAUGUGGUACAUACCCAUUUCCUAGUUUAACUGCUAUAUAUCAUAUGUUGGAGUCACUAUCGUUAAGUGUGAUCUGAUUACUUAAAAACGCUAGUCUGCAAUAGCUACAAUGGACCUACACAAGUCUGCUAUAUAUCCUGGUUUGCUUAUUUUUUAUUAGAGCGUCUUGACCUUGUGGAUGAAUGAGACAUCAUGUCACAUCCAACAUAUGCAUGUCUUACUUACAGAGGUAGAAAGGUUGUGAGGACCACGACCCCUCAUUUGCAGUAAGCAAUAGUACCAACCUGAAGAAAUAACUAGCCUAGGAGUCACCCAUUUCAGCAGCCUAUGAAGGGCAUGGUCAUUGAGGAUGACUAAGCUAGGCCUCAUUUAUUUGAAUUUGAAAUAGUGGUCUUUAAAUUGUUGAUACCUUGUAGUGUUCUUUAAAUUGCAGAACAUUGCAACCAUGACUACUGUUGACAUGAUGGCUGGCCCAUCAGAAGUUCCGGUCAUUUGCUGACAAACAUACCAGCCUUGUUCAUAUAGCUACAAAUUUACUCUCAUAUGGCCAACUCCAACAAUGCUCUCAUGCAUUCAGAUUGACAGUUCGUUAACUCUUUUUUUUAUUGCUUUCAUUAAUUUGA
Molecule: long non-coding RNA, 2355 nt
Organism: Magnolia sinica
Lineage: Eukaryota; Viridiplantae; Streptophyta; Magnoliopsida; Magnoliales; Magnoliaceae
Exons: 4
Source: RefSeq, a predicted model, not a curated record